CAAAAAUUUUUGGUGAAAUGGCGAGGCAAACCACAUUCCGAGAAUACAUGGAUUACGACAACGGAUUUUCAGAAGAUUAACCCCGAUCUCUAUGAAUUGUAUCAAGCAUCUAACUCGUCGGAGCCGAGUUCUUUCAAGCCGGGGAGAAUUGAUGGGGAAAAGCCUUUUAAAGUUUAUUCAAGGAAGAAAGGGAAGACCUAAGUAAACUUUAAGUAGGAUUAAUAUAAUUAGAAUUUGAGUCAUGAUAGGUUAUUAGAGUCCUAGUAGAAUAGGUUAUUAGAGUCCUAGUAGACUUUGGAUUUCUUAGAGAAGCCUAUAAAUAGGCUAAUCAAUGUAAAUCAAAGGAA
This is a long non-coding RNA of Vitis vinifera (wine grape), 347 nucleotides long. RefSeq lists it as uncharacterized. The record is from RefSeq and is a predicted model, not a curated record. The transcript is spliced from 2 exons. NCBI's taxonomy places the organism in Eukaryota, Viridiplantae, Streptophyta, Magnoliopsida, Vitales, Vitaceae.